This 265-nucleotide ribosomal RNA is filed under the name uncultured bacterium. RNAcentral describes it as "partial 16S ribosomal RNA". It matches the Rfam family "Bacterial small subunit ribosomal RNA", at positions 793 to 1055 of the family's 1533-position model. The record is from RNAcentral.
GUCCACGCCGUAAACGAUGAGUGCUAGAUGUCGUGGGUAUUGACCCCCGCGGUGUCGUAGUUAACGCGUUAAGCACUCCGCCUGGGGAGUACGGCCGCAAGGCUAAAACUCAAAGGAAUUGACGGGGGCCCGCACAAGCGGUGGAGCAUGUGGUUCAAUUCGACGCAACGCGCAGAACCUUACCUGGGUUAAAUCCACCGGAACCUGGCAGAAACGCUGGGGUGCUCGCAAGAGAGCCGGUGAGACGGUGCUGCAUGGCUGUCGU